Molecule: ribosomal RNA, 1343 nt
Filed under: uncultured bacterium
Lineage: Bacteria
Description: 16S ribosomal RNA
Rfam family: Bacterial small subunit ribosomal RNA
Source: RNAcentral
GACGAACGCUGGCGGCGUGCUUAACACAUGCAAGUCGAACGGAAAGGCCCUGCUUUUGUGGGGUGCUCGAGUGGCGAACGGGUGAGUAACACGUGAGUAACCUGCCCUUGACUUUGGGAUAACUUCAGGAAACUGGGGCUAAUACCGGAUAGGAGCUCCUACUGCAUGGUGGGGGUUGGAAAGUUUCGGCGGUUGGGGAUGGACUCGCGGCUUAUCAGCUUGUUGGUGGGGUAGUGGCUUACCAAGGCUUUGACGGGUAGCCGGCCUGAGAGGGUGACCGGCCACAUUGGGACUGAGAUACGGCCCAGACUCCUACGGGAGGCAGCAGUGGGGAAUAUUGCACAAUGGGCGGAAGCCUGAUGCAGCAACGCCGCGUGCGGGAUGACGGCCUUCGGGUUGUAAACCGCUUUCGCCUGUGACGAAGCGUGAGUGACGGUAAUGGGUAAAGAAGCACCGGCUAACUACGUGCCAGCAGCCGCGGUGAUACGUAGGGUGCGAGCGUUGUCCGGAUUUAUUGGGCGUAAAGGGCUCGUAGGUGGUUGAUCGCGUCGGAAGUGUAAUCUUGGGGCUUAACCCUGAGCGUGCUUUCGAUACGGGUUGACUUGAGGAAGGUAGGGGAGAAUGGAAUUCCUGGUGGAGCGGUGGAAUGCGCAGAUAUCAGGAGGAACACCAGUGGCGAAGGCGGUUCUCUGGGCCUUUCCUGACGCUGAGGAGCGAAAGCGUGGGGAGCGAACAGGCUUAGAUACCCUGGUAGUCCACGCUGUAAACGGUGGGUACUAGGUGUGGGGUCCAUUCCACGGGUUCCGUGCCGUAGCUAACGCUUUAAGUACCCCGCCUGGGGAGUACGGCCGCAAGGCUAAAACUCAAAGGAAUUGACGGGGCCCCGCACAAGCGGCGGAGCAUGCGGAUUAAUUCGAUGCAACGCGUAGAACCUUACCUGGGUUUGACAUGGAUCGGGAGCGCUCAGAGAUGGGUGUGCCUCUUUUGGGGUCGGUUCACAGGUGGUGCAUGGCUGUCGUCAGCUCGUGUCGUGAGAUGUUGGGUUAAGUCCCGCAACGAGCGCAACCCUUGUUCACUGUUGCCAGCACGUUAUGGUGGGGACUCAGUGGAGACCGCCGGGGUCAACUCGGAGGAAGGUGGGGAUGACGUCAAGUCAUCAUGCCCCUUAUGUCCAGGGCUUCACGCAUGCUACAAUGGCUGGUACAGAGAGUGGCGAGCCUGUGAGGGUGAGCGAAUCUCGGAAAGCCGGUCUCAGUUCGGAUUGGGGUCUGCAACUCGACCUCAUGAAGUCGGAGUCGCUAGUAAUCGCAGAUCAGCAACGCUGCGGUGAAUACGUUCCCGGG